Long non-coding RNA from Bradysia coprophila, 155 nucleotides. The record is from RefSeq and is a predicted model, not a curated record. Lineage: Eukaryota; Metazoa; Arthropoda; Insecta; Diptera; Sciaridae.
UUUGUUAUACAAGAAUAUUCUGAAGUUGUCCUCAAGCGGCCAGUUCCUUUUGCUUGUUCAUUUGCAUGAGUGUGGAAAACAGAAAAAUCGUCGUCCAUGUGUACCAUUUCAUUAUUCCGUUAGACGAGAGCCGCCACUCUAGAAGAUAAACAACA